Molecule: ribosomal RNA, 260 nt
Filed under: Mesorhizobium sp.
Lineage: Bacteria; Pseudomonadati; Pseudomonadota; Alphaproteobacteria; Hyphomicrobiales; Phyllobacteriaceae
Description: partial 16S ribosomal RNA
Rfam family: Bacterial small subunit ribosomal RNA
Source: RNAcentral
GUGACAAACCGGAGGAAGGUGGGGAUGACGUCAAGUCAUCAUGGCCCUUACGGCCUGGGCUACACACGUGCUACAAUGGUCGGUACAGAGGGUUGCCAAGCCGCGAGGUGGAGCUAAUCUCACAAAACCGAUCGUAGUCCGGAUCGCAGUCUGCAACUCGACUGCGUGAAGUCGGAAUCGCUAGUAAUCGCGAAUCAGAAUGUCGCGGUGAAUACGUUCCCGGGCCUUGUACACACCGCCCGUCACACCAUGGGAGUGGG